AUUGAACGCUGGCGGCAGGCCUAACACAUGCAAGUCGAGCGGAUGAAGGGAGCUUGCUCCUGGAUUCAGCGGCGGACGGGUGAGUAAUGCCUAGGAAUCUGCCUGGUAGUGGGGGAUAACGUCCGGAAACGGGCGCUAAUACCGCAUACGUCCUGAGGGAGAAAGUGGGGGAUCUUCGGACCUCACGCUAUCAGAUGAGCCUAGGUCGGAUUAGCUAGUUGGUGGGGUAAAGGCCUACCAAGGCGACGAUCCGUAACUGGUCUGAGAGGAUGAUCAGUCACACUGGAACUGAGACACGGUCAAGACUCCUACGGGAGGAAGCAGUGGGGAAUAUUGGAAAAUGGGCGAAAGCCUGAUCCAGCCAUGCCGCGUGUGUGAAGAAGGUCUUCGGAUUGUAAAGCACUUUAAGUUGGGAGGAAGGGCAGUAAGUUAAUACCUUGCUGUUUUGACGUUACCAAAAGAAUAAGCACCGGCUAACUUCGUG
This 484-nucleotide ribosomal RNA is filed under the name uncultured bacterium. RNAcentral describes it as "partial 16S ribosomal RNA". It matches the Rfam family "Bacterial small subunit ribosomal RNA", at positions 30 to 507 of the family's 1533-position model. The record is from RNAcentral.